UACGAAGGGAGCUAGCGUUGUUCGGAAUCACUGGGCGUAAAGCGCACGUAGGCGGAUGUGUCAGUCAGGGGUGAAAUCCCGGAGCUCAACUUCGGAAUUGCCUUUGAUACAGCACGUCUUGAGUCCGGAAGAGGUGGGUGGAAUUCCUAGUGUAGAGGUGAAAUUCGUAGAUAUUAGGAAGAACACCGGUGGCGAAGGCGGCCCACUGGUCCGGUACUGACGCUGAGGUGCGAAAGCGUGGGGAGCAAACAGG
This 253-nucleotide ribosomal RNA is filed under the name uncultured bacterium. Its description in RNAcentral is "partial 16S ribosomal RNA". It matches the Rfam family "Bacterial small subunit ribosomal RNA", at positions 524 to 776 of the family's 1533-position model. The record is from RNAcentral.